Long non-coding RNA from Eubalaena glacialis (North Atlantic right whale), 110 nucleotides. RefSeq lists it as uncharacterized. The transcript has 3 exons. NCBI's taxonomy places the organism in Eukaryota, Metazoa, Chordata, Mammalia, Artiodactyla, Balaenidae. The record is from RefSeq and is a predicted model, not a curated record.
GCUUGACAGACAGACCCCUGAGUCUCAAAGGACACUUUGAUGCCGCCCAUGGAUUUCCCCGUAUGCUGCACCGACACAUGGCACGGGAGAAAUGAGAAGAGUCCAUGCUG